AUGAAAUUCCUAUUAUUAUAUAUCAUAUACGCGCUACUCUACGCUAGCGCCAACGCAGCUGAGGAGCGCCCGAAAUUUAAUGUCGGCAUAAUUUUCGCCAACAAAAAUGAUGAAACCGAAAUCGCUUUCCGCACCGCCAUCGAACGCGCCAAUGUCUUUGAGCGCAGCUUCGAGUUGGAGCCCAUUGUGGAGUAUGCCGAUACCGAUGAUAGCUUCAUGGUGGAGAAAACCGUCUGCAAAUUGAUUGCGCAAGGCGUUAUUGCUAUUUUCGGGCCAAACACAGCAGGCGGCACAGAUGUAGUGUCAUCAAUCUGCAAUACACUCGAUAUACCGCAUAUUGUUUUCGACUGGACCCCCAGUGAAGCACUAUCCGAUCGCCAACACUCAUCGAUGACACUCAAUGUACAUCCGAACAAUAUAUUACUAUCACGUGGCUUAGCUGAAAUAUUACAGAGCUUUAGUUGGCGCAGCUAUACGAUCGUUUACGAGACUGAAAGAGAGCUACAGCAACUACAGGACGUGCUGCAGGUGGGCGAACCCAGCAACAAUCCAACAACUGUACGUCAGCUAACCGAAGGUCCCGACUUUCGUCCAUUUCUGAAGAAUAUCAAAUUGUCCACAGAUAGCUGUAUUGUACUGCACUGCUCAACAGAUAAUGUUAUGAAGAUUUUAAAGCAAGCGAACGAACUGAGAAUGUUAGGGGAAUAUCAGAGCGUAUUUAUNACCGUGCUAGACACACACACAUUGGAUUUUCAGGAAUUGCUUUCAGUGAAUGCUAAUAUUACGACCAUACGCUUGAUGGACCCCACCGAUUAUCAAGUUAAGAACGUGGCACAUGAUUGGGAGGAACAUGAAAAGCGCGAAGGUCGUUAUUAUCGCGCCGAUCCGUCACAAGUCAAGACAAAUAUGAUUCUGGCUAAUGAUGCCGUUUCGAUGUUUGUGAAAGGUCUCGCCGAGCUUGGUAUUGUCGAAGAACUUAAUCCACCGAAGUUGGAAUGCCGCAAAAAUCGUGCUUGGACGCAUGGCCGACGUAUUAUUGAGUUCUUAAAAGCGCGCUCAGUAGAAGCCGCAACAGGUCGUGUAGAUUUCAACGAACAUGGCGAGCGUAACUUUUUCACGUUACGCUUCAUGGAGUUAACUACCACCGGUUUUCUUGACUUGGCCACUUGGGAUCCAGUGAACGGUGUUGAUUCACUCGAAAAAGAGGAUGCCAGUGAAAAGCGUGUGGGUGAGAAACUUGCUAAUAAAACAAUGAUAAUCACUUCGCGUAUUGGUGCGCCAUUCUUAUUAAAUAGAGAACCAAAAGACGGUGAAAUACUACAAGGCAAUGCACGUUAUGAAGGCUAUUCAAUGGACUUAAUAGAUGCCAUAGCNAGAUUGUUGAACUUCAAAUAUGAAUUCGUAUUGGCGCCCGAUGGAAAAUAUGGCAGCUUUAACAAAUUAACGCAAUCAUGGGAUGGUCUAGUUAAGCAGCUGCUAGAUGGAAACGCCGAUCUUGGUAUUUGCGAUCUCACUAUGACUUCCGCACGUCGCCAAGCUGUUGACUUCACGCCACCCUUCAUGACAUUGGGCAUCAGCAUACUCUAUGCGAAGCCCGAACAGCCACCACCGGAUCUUUUCUCUUUCCUUUCGCCAUUUUCUUUAGAUGUAUGGCUAUAUAUGGCUACUGCAUAUUUGGGUGUUUCGCUACUGAUUUUCGGUCUUUCGCGUAUGGCACCAGCGGACUGGGAAAACCCACAUCCCUGUAAGGAACCCGAAGAAGUAGAGAAUCCUUGGUGCAUGUCCAAUACGACUUGGUUAGCAGUCGGUUCCAUUAUGGGACAAGGUUGCGAUAUAUUACCUAAAGCUGCUUCGACGCGUCUCGUUACCGGCAUGUGGUGGUUCUUUGCCUUGAUGAUGUUGAACUCUUAUACGGCCAACUUAGCCGCCUUUCUGACAAUGUCUAGGAUGGAAAGUUCAAUUGAGAGUGCUGAAGAUUUGGCGGCCCAAAGUAAAAUCAAAUAUGGCGCUUUACUAGGCGGCAGCACAAUGGGUUUCUUUCGCGACUCAAAUUUCUCCACAUAUCAACGCAUGUGGACCGCCAUGGAAACGGCGCGUCCAUCGGUAUUCACCAAAAACAAUGAUGAGGGCGUAGAUCGCGUACUUAAGGGCAAAGGACUUUACGCUUUUCUCAUGGAGUCCACCACAUUGGAGUAUAUAAUCGAACGUAAUUGCGAUCUGAUGCAAGUCGGCGGCUGGUUAGAUUACAAAACGUAUGGCAUUGCAAUGCCGUUUAACUCUCCCUACCGCAANCAGAUCAGCGGUGCCGUUUUGAAGCUUGGCGAAUCUGGUAUGCUCUCGGAGUUGAAGCGUAAGUGGUGGAAAGAGAUGCAUGGUGGUGGUUCCUGCUCGCAAGCGGAGAGUAGCGGCGGUGAUACUCCUGAAUUAGAUUUGGAAAAUGUUGGCGGUGUGUUUCUUGUUUUAGGCAUUGGAUUGCUCACCGCUAUUCUAAUUGGUAUGUGCGAGUUUUUGUGGAAUAUUAAAGCGGUGGCUAUAGAAGAGAAGAUUUCUCUCUCAGAAGCCUUCAAAGCUGAACUCAUGUUUGCGCUACGCUUUUGGAUACAAACAAAGCCGGUACACACAGCUUCUAGCAGUGGUGGUUCUUCAUCAUCCUCCUCUUCAUCUUCAAAGUUGUCCAAAUCUAGUAAGUCUUCGUCUUNCUCAUCAUCCAGCUCAACGAAACGUUCGAAACGAUCAUCGAAAUCUUAUGCACGCUCAAUUUCGCAAAGCACCAAAAGCAUCAUAAAUGGCACACACGAUCUGGAGAAGAAUGAUUUGUCGGUACAUGAUAAACUGCGUAAGAUUAGCUCUAUGUUUUCACUAAAAUCUGCACCAUCCGUACCAUCUGUCGCCAAUGUUCACUUGGAGCCACCGCCAGCAUUAAAACAUAACUCUCAGCCUAAUCAUCACCAUGCAGUUGAUAAGCAUACACAAAUGGUUCGGGAAGUGGCUCAACAGACAACACUAACCUCAGAUGAUCGAAGUGAUUGUGACGAGGUUGAAGCACAACAGCCGGAAAUCGAUGAAAUACCAAUUACGCAAACGCACCAACAUCACAAUCAUCAUCAUCAUCAUCACCACCACCACCAUCACAAACAUCACGAUCAUAAUCAUCACCAGCAACUGGAUGAUCAACAACCGGCCAUGCAGCUGGUCGAACGCACUCCAAAUGGCAAAGUGGCACGAAAUGGUCAUGUCAGUGUUGGCAGUGCAGAGGUUUGAAGCUAAAUUUCAAUUCCCUUUCAAUUUGAUAUUUAUAUGCUACAUAUAAGCAGCAGUAGAUCUACUAAUAGUUCAAUCCAAUUAUAUUGUCUAAAACAAGUGUAAAUAUUAUACAUGUACUCUGUAUUAUCCCGGUAAACAAAUACAUAUAUUGCUUUUUCAAAGAUGAACCUUCA
This 3437-nucleotide unclassified non-coding RNA is filed under the name Bactrocera latifrons. Its description in RNAcentral is "glutamate receptor ionotropic, kainate 2, transcript variant X1". The record is from RNAcentral. Lineage: Eukaryota; Metazoa; Arthropoda; Insecta; Diptera; Tephritidae.